RNAcentral lists this ribosomal RNA (188 nucleotides) under uncultured bacterium. Its description in RNAcentral is "partial 16S ribosomal RNA". It matches the Rfam family "Bacterial small subunit ribosomal RNA", at positions 338 to 524 of the family's 1533-position model. The record is from RNAcentral.
CCUACGGGAGGCAGCAGUGAGGAAUAUUGCCCAAUGGCCGAAAGGCUGACGCAGCAACGCCGCGAUGGAUGAUGAAGCACUUUUGUGUGUAAAAUCCUGUUGAGAGGGAAGAAUCUCCGCCUUCUGGCGGGACUGACGGUACCUCUAAAGAAAGCUCCGGCCAACUCCGUGCCAGCAGCCGCGGUAAU